GCGCACGCUGGCGGCAGGCCUAACCCAUGCAAGUCGAACGAACCUUUCGGGGUUAGUGGCGGACGGGUGAGUAACACGUGGGAACGUGCCUUUAGGUUCGGAAUAACUCAGGGAAACUUGUGCUAAUACCGAAUGUGCCCUUCGGGGGAAAGAUUUAUCGCCUUUAGAGCGGCCCGCGUCUGAUUAGCUAGUUGGUUGAGGUAAUGGCUCACCAAGGCGACGAUCAGUAGCUGGUCUGAGAGGAUGAUCAGCCACAUUGGGACUGAGACACGGCCCAAACUCCUACGGGAGGCAGCAGUGGGGAAUCUUGCGCAAUGGGCGAAAGCCUGACGCAGCCAUGCCGCGUGAAUGAUGAAGGUCUUAGGAUUGUAAAAUUCUUUCACCGGGGACGAUAAUGACGGUACCCGGAGAAGAAGCCCCGGCUAACUUCGUG
Molecule: ribosomal RNA, 433 nt
Filed under: uncultured bacterium
Lineage: Bacteria
Description: partial 16S ribosomal RNA
Rfam family: Bacterial small subunit ribosomal RNA
Source: RNAcentral